RNAcentral lists this ribosomal RNA (450 nucleotides) under uncultured bacterium. RNAcentral's name for it is "bacterial SSU rRNA". It matches the Rfam family "Bacterial small subunit ribosomal RNA", at positions 354 to 796 of the family's 1533-position model. The record is from RNAcentral.
GUGGGGAAUUUUGGACAAUGGGCGCAAGCCUGAUCCAGCAAUGCCGCGUGCAGGAAGAAGGCCUUCGGGUCGUAAACUGCUUUUGUACGGAACGAAACGGUCCGGGUUAAUACCCUGGGCUAAUGACGGUACCGUAAGAAUAAGCACCGGCUAACUACGUGCCAGCAGCCGCGGUAAUACGUAGGGUGCAAGCGUUAAUCGGAAUUACUGGGCGUAAAGCGUGCGCAGGCGGUUUUGUAAGACAGGCGUGAAAUCCCCGGGCUCAACCUGGGAAUUGCGCUUGUGACUGCAAGGCUGGAGUGCGGCAGAGGGGGAUGGAAUUCCGCGUGUAGCAGUGAAAUGCGUAGAUAUGCGGAGGAACACCGAUGGCGAAGGCAAUCCCCUGGGCCUGCACUGACGCUCAUGCACGAAAGCGUGGGGAGCAAACAGGAUUAGAUACCCCAGUAGUCC